Mastomys coucha (southern multimammate mouse) is the source of this 2747-nucleotide long non-coding RNA. RefSeq lists it as uncharacterized. The record is from RefSeq and is a predicted model, not a curated record. The transcript has 3 exons. NCBI's taxonomy places the organism in Eukaryota, Metazoa, Chordata, Mammalia, Rodentia, Muridae.
AAGGACAGAAAUAUGGAUUUGAAACAAAAGCCAUUUAAUUUCUUUUCAUUCCAUCCAAUCAAAUUUCUGUUUUUUUUCUUUAUUAUUAUUUUUUACUAAGAGCUUCAGAAAGUAACAGGAUGGCUUCUGUUGAUUGGAUUCAUAUUUUUCCCCUGCUGCAGCAGAAAAAUUAUUUCUCCUGAAAACAAUCUAGCUUUGUGAACUAGAGCUGGUAACUGUAAUGCCAUUUUCAGUGCGUACUCUGAUGUCUUAUUUAAUUCUUUCUGUGACAUUGUGAGUCAUCUAUGUCAUAUUCCCAUUUUAACUGGGAGAAAGUGAGGCACAGUCAUAAGGACAGUAAGAGAGAGAGCAGAAGACAAAGGUCUCAACUUCUAGAUAUGGUCACUUUGACUUGACUUCUUUAUAGAUGUGAUUGCAAUUCUUGAGGUGAACUGCAAUCAAUUCACCUCACCUAAGUCAGUGGUUCUCUAGGGGUCACCUAAGACUACUGGAAAAAUCACAAAAAUUUACAUUAUGAUUAACAAUAGUAGGAAAAUUACAGUUACGAAUUAGCCAUAAAAGUAAUUUAUGGUUGAGGGUGACUACAUGAGUAACUGUAUUAAAGCACCACAGCAUUAAGGUUGAGAACCACUGAUAGACGUCUACUUGAGUCUGUUUUAUAUUUCCUAAUGUCUAGUUCCUUUAAUCUACACUUAGUCACUGAAUGGGAACUGGAAGUCACUUCUUGUAUCAUCAUAUUGUUCAAGAGUAAUACUCUUAUAUCAGAUGUACUCAAUCUUUAUGUGCACUCGUGCUUGGGAAAAUGUGCUCAUUAGACUCUAGUGGAAAACCUAGUGACUCUCAAAGCACACACUUGUUUGUCAUGCUUAAAAUAAACCAUCAUUUCUCAAUGAAGUAUUAGUUGUUCCUUUAAUUCCAAAACUUCUUGAAGUAUAAACAAAUGUGUAAUUCCCCAUUUUAAAUACGUCUCUAUUUUAAAACUUAAAUUCAUAGGAGAGAAAAAUAAGUAACAAAGACCCUGGAAAUAGAGGCUUUCCAGAAAAAGAAAAAAACUCAAGUGAAUGUGACCUUUUACUCACAAAUAAUCAUGCUUGAAGUGAGUACUGGGCUACAGACAUGAAAUUGAAGGUCAUCCUCUUUAGUUCAGCCACAUUCUUUCUAGAAGAAUAAGAGUAAGAAUAAGAUAAGAAGAGAAGGAGAAAGAGGAAGUAGAAGAGAAAGAAAAGGAAGGAACAACAAAACAAAGAAAAGAAAAUGUCACUGAAGAAAAGCAGUUUAAAAAACAACAGAUAUCCCAAUACUUGAAGUCAGCACUUAUAUUCCAAGGGAAAUGCAAAUAAUGCAAACAUAACAGACCAUAAUAAAGCUAUCUACCCAGCCAGACUAAAGAAUCUUUCAUUCUCUCAUUUUUCCUGUGUUGGGUAAUAAAUAUAUUCCCAGGAGUAGGAGGGUGGUCCUGUGGAGUCUCACUUCACUCAUAGGCAGAGUCAAGGUAUUACUGUUCUGAAAUAUAUGCAAAAAAAUCCAAUAACAUCUGAAGCAGCCAAGGAGGCUUAUUUUAUUAAGAAUUUGAGUAAAUGUCAUUUUCCCAGGCCAAGGCAGUUCUGUAAGAGUGGAGGCUCGUGUUUGGGGAUUCCUCUGAAUCACCAGUGGUCACAGCUCAUUGCCUCAACCCAUCUCCUUAAUAUAUAUUAUGUUAUGUGUGGCUUAGGUCAAAAAGGAAGCUGAUCUUGGCUAUAUUUCUUCAUGAGGUUGGGGAGGAUUUUCAUUUGCUAUGUACCUCUGAGCUCUUGGACAUUCUCUCAUCACCCUAACUGCAAGUAUAUUGAGAUUAACAGCUUUCUUAUAUCAAUGCAUUGAAAGGACUUUGAUUUUCUUUAAAUUAAAUUUGAUUCAGUUACCAUGUUAGAUAGGUAAAUAUUCUUGUUGGAGGAGAGGGAUGAUACUCACAUUUAAAGGGAGGAGUAGCAUCAUUGUAGAAGAAGUGGUCUGCCUUGGCCUCUGCAGGAACUUGCACUCAAACCACACUUGCUUUAUCAUGCUUGUUUUUCUUGCCUUCCUUGUUUUCAUGGUCUCCAGUCCCCACAAUCCCCACAAUCAGUUCCUUUCCUCACCAGCCUCAUUUCUUUGUAACAUAUCAGUAGAGAGAGAUAAUUAAGGUCAUGCAGCCCCCAUCCUUUCUUCCCAAGUGUAUCAUCUAUGGUUACCUCCUGUCCUUUCUUCUAACGUGGGCACCAUCUAUUUUAGCUCUGACCAGAGUUGAGGAGUUAAUAUAUGUUGUUAAGAUUUAGAUAAUAAUUUCAAACUGAUCAGUCAUCUCAUCUUGGCACAUUACGUGUGGCUUCUCCCCACUGGCCACCAUGUGUGAGUGUCUCAAUCUUUUCUUCUACAGGAUUUGUCUGCUACCACCUUCCUGCUGAGUAACUUUCCAGAUGAUUCAACAUCAUGUCUUAUAAACAUAGGCCCCAGCUUUAGUAUCUAGAGAAACAUGGAAAUGACUGGUUUUUGUUACUGAGAUCAAUUUCAAACCAAGGCUUUACCCUCUUCUAUUGAUGGAUAUGCGGAAAAAGGAGAACAAGAGAAAUUCUUAUUCUGUCAUACAGCUUAAAGAAAUUACCCUCAGAGGAUCCUCUAGUUACCAUGGAGCUACAGCCCAAUAAAUCCCUCACAAGGUCAGAAUAAAAGCCAAUGGGUAAGUUGAAAAUGAGUUAACUCUAGCUGUAUUACUGGAUAUGAGAGCUUAGGAA